UACGUAGGGAGCAAGCGUUGUCCGGAAUCAUUGGGCGUAAAGCGCGCGUAGGUGGCCCCAUAAGUCCGCUGUGAAAGUCAAAGGCUCAACCUUUGAAAGCCGGUGGAUACUGUGGGACUAGAGUACGGAAGAGGCGAGUGGAAUUCCUGGUGUAGCGGUGGAAUGCGCAGAUAUCAGGAGGAACACCAAUAGCGAAGGCAGCUCGCUGGGACGUUACUGACGCUGAGGAGCGAAAGCGUGGGGAGCGAACAGG
Molecule: ribosomal RNA, 253 nt
Filed under: uncultured bacterium
Lineage: Bacteria
Description: partial 16S ribosomal RNA
Rfam family: Bacterial small subunit ribosomal RNA
Source: RNAcentral